This 628-nucleotide ribosomal RNA is filed under the name uncultured bacterium. Its description in RNAcentral is "bacterial SSU rRNA". The stretch from base 1 to 544 matches the Rfam family "Bacterial small subunit ribosomal RNA", at positions 338 to 873 of the family's 1533-position model. The record is from RNAcentral.
CCUACGGGAGGCAGCAGUAGGGAAUCUUCCGCAAUGGACGAAAGUCUGACGGAGCAACGCCGCGUGAACGAUGAAGGCCUUCGGGUCGUAAAGUUCUGUUGUUAGGGAAGAACAAGUGCUAGUUAAAUAAGCUGGCACCUUGACGGUACCUAACCAGAAAGCCACGGCUAACUACGUGCCAGCAGCCGCGGUAAUACGUAGGUGGCAAGCGUUGUCCGGAAUUAUUGGGCGUAAAGCGCGCGCAGGCGGUUUCUUAAGUCUGAUGUGAAAGCCCCCGGCUCAACCGGGGAGGGUCAUUGGAAACUGGGAAACUUGAGUGCAGAAGAGGAAAGUGGAAUUCCAAGUGUAGCGGUGAAAUGCGUAGAGAUUUGGAGGAACACCAGUGGCGAAGGCGACUUUCUGGUCUGUAACUGACGCUGAGGCGCGAAAGCGUGGGGAGCAAACAGGAUUAGAUACCCUGGUAGUCCACGCUGUAAACGAUGAGUGCUAAGUGUUAGAGGGUUUCCGCCCUUUAGUGCUGAAGUUAACGCAUUAAGCNCUCGCCGNGGAGGUACGGUCGCGAGAGAGAACGUAACUAAUAGUUAGUUAGUAGCGUUGAGAGNGCGACGGACGACGACGAGGGAGGAGG